AUACGGGAGGCAGCAGUGGGGAAUAUUGCGCAAUGGGCGAAAGCCUGACGCAGCGACGCCGCGUGGGGGAUGAAGGCCUUCGGGUUGUAAACCCCUUUCAGCAGGGACGAAGCGAGAGUGACGGUACCUGCAGAAGAAGCGCCGGCUAACUACGUGCCAGCAGCCGCGGUAACACGUAGGGCGCAAGCGUUGUCCGGAAUUAUUGGGCGUAAAGAGCUCGUAGGUGGUUUGUUACGUCCGCUGUGAAAACCUAGGGCUUAACCCUGGGCUUGCAGUGGAUACGGGCAGACUAGAGGUAGGUAGGGGAGAAUGGAAUUCCUGGUGUAGCGGUGAAAUGCGCAGAUAUCAGGAGGAACACCGGUGGCGAAGGCGGUUCUCUGGGCCUUACCUGACACUGAGGAGCGAAAGCGUGGGGAGCGAACAGGAUUAGAUACCCUUGUAGUCC
RNAcentral lists this ribosomal RNA (445 nucleotides) under uncultured bacterium. RNAcentral's name for it is "bacterial SSU rRNA". It matches the Rfam family "Bacterial small subunit ribosomal RNA", at positions 339 to 796 of the family's 1533-position model. The record is from RNAcentral.